Molecule: unclassified non-coding RNA, 346 nt
Filed under: soil metagenome
Description: partial contains 5.8S ribosomal RNA, internal transcribed spacer 2, and large subunit ribosomal RNA
Rfam family: 5.8S ribosomal RNA (bases 1-120)
Source: RNAcentral
GAUGAAGAACGUAGCAAAAUGCGAUAAGUAAUGUGAAUUGCAGAAUUCAGUGAAUCAUCGAAUCUUUGAACGCACAUUGCGCCCGCUGGUAUUCCGGCGGGCAUGCCUGUUCGAGCGUCAUUUCAACCCUCAAGCCCCCGGGUUUGGUGUUGGGGAUCGGCUCUGCCCUUCUGGGCGGUGCCGCCCCCGAAAUACAUUGGCGGUCUCGCUGCAGCCUCCAUUGCGUAGUAGCUAACACCUCGCAACUGGAACGCGGCGCGGCCAUGCCGUAAAACCCCAACUUCUGAAUGUUGACCUCGGAUCAGGUAGGAAUACCCGCUGAACUUAAGCAUAUCAAUACGGAGGA